This is a long non-coding RNA of Apis mellifera (honey bee), 1331 nucleotides long. RefSeq lists it as uncharacterized. NCBI's taxonomy places the organism in Eukaryota, Metazoa, Arthropoda, Insecta, Hymenoptera, Apidae. The record is from RefSeq and is a predicted model, not a curated record. The transcript is spliced from 4 exons.
AUAAAUACAAGAAUACUUAAUUCCAUGGGUUAACAUUGGAAGUCUGAGCUUUCUGGAGAUUUUCCGUAUCCAAAUACAACGAUGACGAUGCGACAACAUACUCUGAGAGUUCGGAGGUCUAUUUACACGAGUUCGCAAAUAUAGCCAUAGGUAUCGAAGCCAACCGAAGCGAAGAAUUGAUAAAUUAGUUAUUCCCUCAGUCUGCUGCUGUUCCUCCAGAAUUAUUACAGAAAUAUUAUAAGUAUAUAUCUGUAAUUUUAUCAUCAAGUUGUGGUGAAUCAUAUGAUUAAUCAUGAAUUCUUUAAUGGUACCUGUUGUUUCUCUAUAUCGAAUAUUACAAGACUAUUAUAAUUCGGAAUUAAUAGGAAGAUAACAAGUUACUAAGAUAAAAAAGUCACGUCCAAAAUGGAGACAACUCGACUAAAUUGCAACGUGUCUAAGGAUCCUCCGUGUUCGACCACAGAGAGACCCGUAUCCGCAUCUGCGACGGUUUGAAUUGAAGAUUUUUGCGGACGGUAACUCGUUGGCUCACGCGCUAACGUAUUUGCAAGAUCCGCUGUGCUGAUGGACAUAUAAUGCGACGUGUGAUUGUAGGCCCGCCAAUCGCGGCCGAUUGUGCCUCUGAAGGCCCGCUAACUAUCUCAAACUAGCCCCAUUCAAACCGCCACGACCUCUCUCUAUCCAUCUCUAUCCACCAACCCGGCCUCUGUAUCUCGCUCGUUUCAACCCUUAUUCACCACCACCUCCCGGCACCCCUGCGCCUCGUUCAUCCCCUUCGAAACUUCGCAUCUUCGUUGCUCCCGCUUCGUGUCUCGUUUCCACCGACUUCGCAUUCCGAUUUUCCCUCCUCUUCCGCGAAAACUCCGUCCUCGUUUCGAAUUCGAGUUGUAUUUCUUGCCGCACGUUUCUUCUGCACGGCGCACAUCCUUUUCUAAUUUUCGACUGCCUCUUUCACCGCACACACCGUAAUCUUCUAUUUUAUUCGCUAUAUACCCUUCCUAAUGCGAUAGCUAGGUCCAUAUAAAUACACGGCCACGGCUUCACCUGUUUCCUAUCUCGCCUCACGAAUCGAAUGUUUUACCUCUCAUUUAAAAUUCUUUAUCUCGCUCCCUCCAUUCAACACUCACCGUAGAGACAUUCUCGUUUUUCACGAUUCUUUUCGCUUAUUUAAUCCUAAUGUAUCUAUUUCCUUUUCGUAAUAUUUAAUCAUGUAUCUCAUUUAAUUCGGUUUUCUUAACAAGUAACGUUUAAAAAUCUAAUUUGAAUGAAAAGAUAAUGAUAUUUACUUUUUUUCAAGUAGAUUUUUAAUCUUUUUCCUUUUUUUUCGAAGU